Molecule: ribosomal RNA, 305 nt
Filed under: uncultured bacterium
Lineage: Bacteria
Description: bacterial SSU rRNA
Rfam family: Bacterial small subunit ribosomal RNA
Source: RNAcentral
GCCUCCUACGGGACGCAGCAGUGAGGAAUAUUGGUCAAUGGUCGGGAGACUGAACCAGCCAAGCCGCGUGAGGGAUGAAGGUACAGAGUAUCGUAAACCUCUUUUGUCAGGGAACAAAGGCGGGGACGCGUCCCCGGAUGAGUGUACCUGAAGAAAAAGCAUCGGCUAACUCCGUGCCAGCAGCCGCGGUAAUACGAAGGGUGCAAGCGUUAUCCGGAUUUAUUGGGCGUAAAGGGCUCGUAGGCGGUUCGUAGCGUCCGGUGUGAAAGUCCAUCGCUUAACGGUGGAUCCGCGCCGGGUACGGG